This 1274-nucleotide long non-coding RNA is filed under the name Daucus carota (carrot). Its description in RNAcentral is "long non-coding RNA (DCAR_LNC006637)". Lineage: Eukaryota; Viridiplantae; Streptophyta; Magnoliopsida; Apiales; Apiaceae. The record is from RNAcentral.
AAGGGUUAUAUAAGUGGGUAUCGAUAUACGCGAUAUGUAUAUGCGAUAUAUUGUUUAGUGACUAUAGUAUUAUCUUAUUCUCGUUAAGGAUUUGGACGAGACGUGGAUGACCGAAGACGUUCAGAAGGACAAGUGGUAUUGCAAAGCGAAUAAGGGAUGAAUCGAGUAAGCGAAACGAUGUGGCGAAUAGAGUACGGCUAGAGAUGGUCUAGAAAUUAUGAGAUGCAUAGAUUGUGAAAGUGGAAAGAUGAGAUAGAGAUGUGAGACUGGAGUCAGAUUUAAGGCAAGUAUCCUAAACCCUUCUCUUGGAUAUAUUGCAAAUAUUCUGAUCCAUUCCUUUGGUAUCUGUUGCAAGAAUUCGUACCUUUCCUUUCUAUAUUUAAAAGUGCAUAUGUUCGGAUCUAUUCUUUCUAUUCUUCAAGUUUCUAAAGAAUUUCCGUUUUAUUAAUUAAUUCGAAGUUCAGAUUGUCAUUGAAGCAUGUGUUGCUCAGUGAUAGUUAGAGCUUUGAAUGAAUUGGGAUCUUCUUGAUUAUUCAACCCGCCAUUGUCAUGCUGGUUUAGCAGGCUAAAUUCAGUUGCUUAGCCGAUAAUGGAGGAUACUGAAUAGUUGAGGAUUUCCUGAACUAUGAUUUAUGAAAGGAUGGACUGUGACUUAUGAAAAGUUUAUUAUCAAAGUUUGAUUUGGAAUUAUUCAGUUGUUGAUGAUGAUUAUGAUUAUGUUCUGUUAAUUUACAUUGGCUUCUUUAAUUGAAUUAGAGAAUUGGAUUAUUGUUUUUAUAUAAACCUGUGGACCAGAUUCGUGGUCAUGUUAGGCCAAUGAGUGCCUUGGAUCCAGUGAUAGAGCAUGGCGGGGCCUGCUCGGGGUUAGUGCGGAACUGAUCAGCUGCCUAACCUUGGUUUUAAUUAAAAUGUGAUAGUCCAAUUCAAUAAUUCUUUUGGAAAGAUUGAAUUCCUCAGUGUUCAAUUGCUACAAGGUAUUGUGAUUUUCUUAUACAAGACCUAAACUCGUGAACUCAGGUUGAAUCCUUUUAUAUCUUGAACUCGUGAACUUCUGUUAUAUCAUUUCAGAAUUAUCAUUGUUUAUUAUUACUUGCUGAGCAUUGUUGCUCACCCUUGCUAUUCCUUUCUAACCAUUUCAGAAAGGCUUAAAGAUGAGAUGAUUGAUUGAGAUUGUGAGUAAGGCUAAUGCUAGGCGAGGAGACAGAGGUGGCUAGACUGUGAUGGUUGCUGAGCAUUGUUGCUCACUCUUGCUAUUCCUUUCUUAAUCAUUUCAG